Molecule: ribosomal RNA, 193 nt
Filed under: uncultured bacterium
Lineage: Bacteria
Description: partial 16S ribosomal RNA
Rfam family: Bacterial small subunit ribosomal RNA
Source: RNAcentral
CAACUCGCCUGCAUGAAGUCGGAAUUGCUAGUAAUCGCGGAUCAGCAUGCCGCGGUGAAUACGUUCUCGGGCCUUGUACACACCGCCCGUCACACCAUGGGAGGUCGGUAACACCCGAAGUCUGUAGCCUGACGCAAGAGGGCGCAGCCGAAGGUGGGAUUGAUGACUGGGGGUGAAGUCGUAACAAGGUAAC